This 482-nucleotide ribosomal RNA is filed under the name uncultured bacterium. RNAcentral describes it as "partial 16S ribosomal RNA". It matches the Rfam family "Bacterial small subunit ribosomal RNA", at positions 30 to 507 of the family's 1533-position model. The record is from RNAcentral.
AUUGGACGCUGGCGGCAUGCCUUACACAUGCAAGUCGAACGGUAACGGGCCUUCGGGUGCCGACGAGUGGCGAACGGGUGAGUAAUACAUCGGAACGUGCCCGAUCGUGGGGGAUAACGAGGCGAAAGCUUUGCUAAUACCGCAUACGAUCUACGGAUGAAAGCAGGGGACCGCAAGGCCUUGCGCGGACGGAGCGGCCGAUGGCAGAUUAGGUAGUUGGUGGGAUAAAAGCUUACCAAGCCGACGAUCUGUAGCUGGUCUGAGAGGAUGAUCAGCCACACUGGGACUGAGACACGGCCCAGACUCCUACGGGAGGCAGCAGUGGGGAAUUUUGGACAAAGGGCGCAAGCCUGAUCCAGCCAUGCCGCGUGCAGGAUGAAGGCCUUCGGGUUGUAAACUGCUUUUGUACGGAACGAAAAGCCUUCUUUUAAUACAGGAGGGUCAUGACGGUACCGUAAGAAUAAGCACCGGCUAACUACGUG